UGAGUUUCCUGUUUGUUUUUUUUACUCACUGACUCACCUACUAAUUUAUUUAGCUCCUGCAAAUAACCUACUCUGGAGAACCAUAAAGGUUUAAUGUUAGUCUUCUAAUAUUCCUAAGAUUGCAUAAAGAGGGAGGAUACACUAAUACAAAUGUCGAAACCAACAUUAGAAAAAUAAAUGAGUAAGAGCUACAGGUAUAGUAACAACAAUGGCAAAGUAUUAGUAAUGGUUACAACAAUAAGCAGUUCUUUAGCAGUUGUACAAGGAAGUGAAACAUUUCCUGGAAAAUGAAACAUAAAGGUGAGUGUCAUGGGUGUGGUGCACAUACUGAACUAUCUGUCUGACUGCUCAAACACGGUGAUCGUCGCUCUAGAAGGUUUUCUCGAAUUUGUUGAACCAUGGAAACCGGAACGAUCAGCGAAUCGGUAAAUGUCUUUAUUUUUCCUUUUUUUCUUUAAAAAAAAAGUACAUUGACUGAGUUAAAGCAAAUGAAAUUACUGCACUUAUAUAUGUAAAACCUACUAAUUUGGAAUUUCUUUUUUUUUUUUUUUUUUUUUAAAUAUAAGAACACACAAAAGAAAGCUUUCACAAAGAGGUAAGUAAAUGAGUUUUGUAGAAAUAUGAUCCUGCUAACCAAAUGUAAAAUGAAUCACUCUGCUCAGCCAUGUUGCCUCUAACUUUGACUACACUCCUAAUACAGACUUUAAAAGAAGUGAGUUAUUGGACUAUUCAGUGUGUGAUUUGCAGUACAUUUUGGAUUUGCCAAAUUACUGACAUCUGUUAUCUCUGAAAACAUUUUAGGUUGUUUAGUAUAGCAUGUUAUCACUGUAAAUAAAUAAAAAAUUAACUAACUUUAGGUUUUUAACUACAUAUUUGAAUUAUUCUUCUUUCAGGAAAUGCAGUAAAAGUUACUUUCAACAAGAAUCAAAAAGAUUGAAGACUUAAGAUCAGCCGGUUUAUUAUUAAUCAAUUGCUUACUGGUAAAGGUAAUAAAAACAAAAAACUGGACAAUCUCUUUGUCCACAUUGAUGAGAUGCUUCAUAGCAUUUUCUUCCUCGGGUACAUUUAUAACCCCAAGUUGACUCCCAGUGAGUUCUUCAGAAAAUCUACAAUAGAUAAAUUGAAGGAAUUGUUUCCUGAGUCAUCACAAAAUCUUACACUUGAAUUGAAGGAUGAAUUGAUGGAAUUGUUUCCUGAGCCAUUUGAGAAGUACAAAAGUCAUCUGCCAACUCGCACACCCUUUUCCAUUCUGCUAAACAUGAUGGAGAUACUUUAUGGCACUGAAGACAAAAUAAAAGAAAAUCUUCAGCUUCUGCUUAAAGAACUCAAAUUCCCAUACCCCCUUCACAAGUCAGGCGAUGAAUAUCAGCAUUAUUACACACUGGAGGCGACAGUAAUCUGUGUGUGUUAUUCAGAAACUCAUUUACAAAAGAAGUACUACGGGGCAUCUCUUUCCUGCAGAUUACGAAAGGCAAAGAGAAUUUUGAUCGACCUGUCUUGUCUUAAAACAUGGCAUGAGUUUGUAUCUCAUGCAGUCAUGUCAUUUACUUCAGGAGAUCGGUACAAUGGCAUAACAUUCCCUGAGUCAGUGAAAUGUCAGGCGUACAUUAGAGACUGGAAUGAAAAUGUUUAUAGAAAAAGACGUCCAUGUUUAAAUUGUGCACAACUGUUUAAUCUACAAGAUGCAGACUUAGGUAGCGUGAAUCAUCCCUAUGGGAACUGUGCUGAGACAGAGUGCUUGAGCAAACUACUUUGCGAUAAUAAAGACAUACGAGAGAACACACGGAUGGAAAAUCAUACAGAGGAAAACUUGGAGAAUCUCAGAGAUUCAACAAAAGCACGCGUGCUAAAUGAUCUUGCUGAGGUUGGCAUUCAAAUGAAUAAUGAGAAUUUUCUCUUCUACAGCCCAAUGCCAAUGCCACCUUUCUAAGUAUACUAGUAGUUAUAUCAUACACUUUCUGUCAAACUGUCAAUCAAAGUGUUGUGUGUGAUAAUUUAUGACCCUCUGUGCUUCCCUGACUGACAGGUCUGUAGGGGUGGUGAGGGGGGUAACCCUAUGUAGUUUAUCAGAUGAUCAAUCUGGCUCCUUUGUGUCUGGGGGUGUUGUGGAGAGGUGUGUGUUGGGGGGGGGGGGAUAGUCCCCCUCCCAACGAAAGGUGUUUAUGUUAAUGAGUUUGGUUUUUGGUGGGGUAAAACACGUAUGAAAAUAAAUGAUGUUUUAAUAUGGGGAUGUGUUUGUGUUACUUUGUGGCGUUAUUUCGUUUGUGUAAACACAUUGUUAGAAAAGCAUGAUGUUUGAAUGUGUACAUAUAUGAGUAGAAUAUUUGUUUUGUGAAAUAAAUGAAAACAAUUGUUGAUUAUGUUUUUUAGGGAUCCCGUUUUACCUUUGAAUAAAAAGUUUAGAGUUAAAGCGUCUUUUUUUUUUUUUUUAAAGAAUCUGUUUAAAAUAAUCGUUUGUAUUACAUACAUUCUAAACACAAACCUUUAGGAUGUAAAAAUGAUCAAAAGAGCUGUUUAAAAAGAAUCCGUAUUACUAGGUUUCCAAAAAAACACAUAAAAACUUUAGGAGGUAAAAAUGGUUAAAAGAGCUGUUUAAAAGAAUAGCGCAUAUUACACGACUUCUAAACAAAGAUCCUUACGAGGUAAAAAUGUUAAAGUGCUGGUUAAAAGAUGUUUAAACUAGGAGAUUUUUUCCAGAGUUGUCUUCCAGUCGCUGUGUUAAGCAGUAAUGAAGUUAAACUGAGACACCUCACUCUCGCUAAACCCCGCCCACACAUACGUGUUUUCAGACACGCCCCUCUCUCUCUCUCUCUCUCUCUCUCUCUCUCUCUAAACACACCCAUACACGUGUUUUCAUCGUAGCCAGUAGGUUCUGUCAAAAUGUCAAUCACGGCGGUAGAACUAGAGGGCUAAUUUAUGGUUUGUGUUUUUCCUGACCGACAGUUCUGUAGGCACACCUAAUUUAUGGCCAGGGGUGGUGGGGGUAACCCUAUCCACUGUAUCAGUGGGUCUUUUUGGCACCUGUAUGUCUGGGUUGUGUCCUUCCAUUCCUGGGGGUGUGUGUUUUGUGUACUGUGGGGGAUCUCCCCCAACAAAUGUGUUUAUGUUAAUGACACUGUUGUGAAACGUGUUUCUCCCUGAAUUAAUCACACACAAAUGUAUACCUUUUUGUGGUAUAAGAGAAUGUUUGUUUCUGAACUUACUUUUGUGGUAUUGUUUUAUUUUGAAGCUUAAGGGUGGUUUAGGUGAAAUAUGUCUGAAAAGAAUAUCAAUGUUUAAUAUGAGCGUGUGUUUUUGUUACUGUGUGGGUUAUUUUGUUUGUGUAAACACAUUGUUAGAAAAGCAUGAUGGUUGAAUGUGAAUAUAUAUGAGCAGAAUGUUUGCUUGUGAAAUAUAUGAAAAAACUGUUGAUUACGUGUUUGAGAGAACGGCAUGACUUUGAAUAAACAUUUACUGAAAUAAAAACCCCUGAAACAGAUAAA
Ictalurus punctatus (channel catfish) is the source of this 3482-nucleotide long non-coding RNA. NCBI's taxonomy places the organism in Eukaryota, Metazoa, Chordata, Actinopteri, Siluriformes, Ictaluridae. The record is from Ensembl.